Molecule: ribosomal RNA, 1031 nt
Filed under: marine metagenome
Description: bacterial SSU rRNA
Rfam family: Bacterial small subunit ribosomal RNA
Source: RNAcentral
AGAGUUUGAUUAUGGCUCAGAACGAACGCUUGCUGCAUGCUUUAUACAUGCAAGUCGAACGGAGGCCCUAGCUUGCUAGGUGUCCUUAGUGGCGCACGGGUGAGUAACACGUGGGAACAUACCUUAUAGUACGGAAUAACUGCGGGAAACUGUAGCUAAUACCGUAUACUCCAGUAAUGGGAAAGAUUUAUCGCUAUAAGAUUGGCCCGCGCAAGAUUAGCUUGUUGGUGAGGUAAAAGCUCACCAAGGCUCCGAUCUUUAGCUGGUUUGAGAGGACGAUCAGCCACACUGGGACUGAGACACGGCCCAGACUCCUACGGGAGGCAGCAGUAGGGAAUAUUGGACAAUGGGGGCAACCCUGAUCCAGCAAUGCAGCGUGAGUGACGAAGGCCUUAGGGUUGUAAAACUCUUUCAUCGGUGAGGAUAAUGACAGUAGCCGAAGAAGAAGGACCGGCUAAUUCCGUGCCAGCAGCCGCGGUAAUACGGAAGGUCCUAGCGUUGUUCGGAAUUACUGGGCGUAAAGCGCAUGUAGGCGGAACAGAAAGUUAGAAGUGAAAUCCCUGGGCUCAACCUAGGAAUUGCUUUUAAAACUUCUGUUCUGGAAUUCAGGAGAGGAAAAUGGAAUUUCCAGUGUAGAGGUGAAAUUCGUAGAUAUUGGAAGGAACACCAGUGGCGAAGGCGAUUUUCUGGACUGAUAUUGACGCUGAGAUGCGAAGGCAUGGGUAGCAAACGGGAUUAGAUACCCCGGUAGUCCAUGCAGUAAACGAUGGGUGCUAGUCGUCGGACUUUUGUUCGGUGUCGUAGCUAACGCGUUAAGCACCCCGCCUGGGGAGUACGGUCGCAAGAUUAAAACUCAAAUAAAUUGACGGGGACCCGCACAAGCAGUGGAGCAUGUGGUUUAAUUCGACGCAACGCGAAGAACCUUACCAGCGUUUGACAUGGAAAGUGCCGGUUACAGAAUGGUAACCUUCAGUUCGGCUGGCUUUCGCACAGGUGCUGCAUGGCUGUCGUCAGCUCGUGUCGUGAGAUGU